RNAcentral lists this ribosomal RNA (249 nucleotides) under uncultured bacterium. RNAcentral describes it as "partial 16S ribosomal RNA". It matches the Rfam family "Bacterial small subunit ribosomal RNA", at positions 524 to 773 of the family's 1533-position model. The record is from RNAcentral.
UACGUAGGGUGCAAGCGUUGUCCGGAAUUACUGGGCGUAAAGCGUGCGUAGACGGUUACAUAAGUCGGGUGUGAAAGCCCCGGGCUCAACCUGGGAAUUGCAUUCGAGACUGCGUAGCUAGGGUGCGGAAGAGGGAAGCGGAAUUCCGGUGUAGCGGUGAAAUGCGUAGAUAUCGGAAGGAACACCAGUGGCGAAAGCGGCUUCCUGGUCCAGCACCGACGUUCAGGCACGAAAGCGUGGGGAGCAAAC